Molecule: long non-coding RNA, 785 nt
Organism: Pseudopipra pipra
Lineage: Eukaryota; Metazoa; Chordata; Aves; Passeriformes; Pipridae
Exons: 3
Source: RefSeq, a predicted model, not a curated record
CGUGGUUGCUUCCGGGAAGCAAAGAUGGCGCUGGCUCCGUGCUGCACUGUUCCUGUCCUUGAGCCCAGGCCCUGAGGUGAGGCUGAGAAGUGGCGCGGAGGUGAGCCCAGAGCUGUCCCUGAGGUGAGGCUGAGAAUAAGUGCAAGGCAGAGGUGCUGCUGAGGAAGGAGAGCCCCGUGGUGGGGAAGGCACAAAGCUGUGUGUGCCCAUCCCCGAGCAGGUGCUGUGUCCAUCCCCUGUGUGCCAGGAUUUCUCCUUCCCAAAGCUUGGCCAGAUGAAGGAGGCUGCGAGGAAGAGGAAGAUGCCUUGGGCCCCCCAGGCAGGUGAGGAGGAAGUCAGUGUCCCUUUGGGCGGGUGUUGUGCUGGCUCUGUCAGCCGAGCAUGGCCCCGGCUGCAGGACAACCCCGCUGGCGCCGCCGUCCUGCCGGGGCCGGAGUUGGGGGGAUGUCCUUGGCCUUCCCUGUGGGCCGGAGGCAAAUCCCCUCCCUGUCCUUCUUGCUUCCUGCCCCAGGCCCCGAGCUGAGGACGGAGAGCCCGGAGGACAAAUCCCCCCGGCAGAGCCUGGUGGGAGAGGCCGUUUUGAAGGGCUCCCCGGCGCAGGAAGGCAGCGGGGAGGAAAAGGGCCGGAGAUCCCCCCCCAGGAGGGGCUCCAAAGCCAGCCCAGGGUGCUCUGAGGAGGAAAGAGCCAGCCUGUGCCGGGAAGGCAGCCAGAGCUUGAGCCAGAGCUCUGACCUGGUGGUCCCUGAGCAGCCUCCCAGCAGGGAGAAGCCCUUCAGGUGCCUGGA